This is a non-coding RNA of Pogona vitticeps (central bearded dragon), 563 nucleotides long. NCBI's taxonomy places the organism in Eukaryota, Metazoa, Chordata, Lepidosauria, Squamata, Agamidae. The record is from RefSeq and is a predicted model, not a curated record.
AAGGUUUGAUAUUCGAUAUUCUGCUCACCCAAUUCUUUAGCCUUGAGAAGGAACAGCAAGUUACCUCUGUAAACAUUCCCAUGGGAGAGUUCCAUCUGAAAACUUUUACAGAGGUGACAUUAGAUGUAAUCCUGACGGAACUGAAUAAAGUGGUAGAAGAGGACAUGGAAGAUCUCUUGAUAUGUGAAAGAGCAACUGGGGAAGAAAGGAAACUGAAGUAUGUUAACAGAAGCUCCUAGAAACUGAAAAGGGAAUGGUUAAUACUGUAUAAGGUAAUGAUCCUUCAGAAUGGAAUUGUUAAUGAAGUGGCUCCCCAGGUUUAUCUGUAUUGUAUUUUUUGAAUGUGAUGGACUUAAUUCAUUAUAUAUCUUUCCUGUACUUAUUGAUGUAAACCUGCACUUAAAUUUGUACUAUAUUAUAAUGCAAUAUUUGAAAGAAUAGAGAGCAAAAGAGCUACUGAUUAAUGUAUUGUUUUCGCGAUGUCUAUGCUUCUUCUGCGGAUACUUACAUAUUUGUGUGUGUGAUGGAUAUUAUUUUAUGUUUAUUUUAAUUCCCCCUGUGAU